AGGACGAACGCUGGCGGCGUGCCUAACACAUGCAAGUCGAGCGGAGUUAACAAGAGGAAGUUUCGGAUGGAAUUUGUUAAUUAGCGGCGGACGGGUGAGUAACGCGUGAGCGACCAACCUUGCACAGGGGGAUAACGGACCGAAAGGUUCACUAAUACCGCAUGAGACCACGGUGUUGCAUGACACAGAGGUCAAAGGAGCAAUCCGGUGCAAGACGGGCUCGCGUCCGAUUAGGUAGUUGGUGGGGUAAUGGCCCACCAAGCCUAUGAUCGGUAGCCGACCUGAGAGGGUGAUCGGCCACAUUGGAACUGAGAUACGGUCCAAACUCCUACGGGAGGCAGCAGUGGGGAAUAUUGGGCAAUGGGGGGAAACCCUGACCCAGCAACGCCGCGUGAAGGAAGAAGGUUUUCGGAUUGUAAACUUCUGUCCUUGGUGAAGAGAAGAAGACGGUAGCCAAGGAGGAAGCCCCGGCUAACUACGUGCCAGCAGCAGC
This 493-nucleotide ribosomal RNA is filed under the name uncultured bacterium. RNAcentral describes it as "bacterial SSU rRNA". It matches the Rfam family "Bacterial small subunit ribosomal RNA", at positions 26 to 518 of the family's 1533-position model. The record is from RNAcentral.